GAUGAACGCUGGCGGCGUGCCUAAUACAUGCAAGUCGAGCGAACGGACGAGAAGCUUGCUUCUCUGAUGUUAGCGGCGGACGGGUGAGUAACACGUGGAUAACCUACCUAUAAGACUGGGAUAACUUCGGGAAACCGUAGCUAAUACCGGAUAAUAUUUUGAACCGCAUGGUUCAAAAGUGAAAGACGGUCUUGCUGUCACUUAUAGAUGGAUCCGCGCUGCAUUAGCUAGUUGGUAAGGUAACGGCUUACCAAGGCAACGAUGCAUAGCCGAGCUGAGAGGGUGAUCGGCCACACUGGAACUGAGCCACCGUCCAGACUACUACGGGAGGCAGCAGUAGGGAACCUUCCGCAAUGGGCGAAAGCCUGACGGAGCGACGCCGCGUGAGUGAUGACGGUCUUCGGAUCGUAAAACUCUCUUAUUAGGGAAGAACAUAUGUGUAAGUAACUGUGCACAUCUUGACGGUACCUAAUCAGAAAGCCACGGCUAACUACGUG
This 497-nucleotide ribosomal RNA is filed under the name uncultured bacterium. Its description in RNAcentral is "partial 16S ribosomal RNA". It matches the Rfam family "Bacterial small subunit ribosomal RNA", at positions 28 to 507 of the family's 1533-position model. The record is from RNAcentral.